UACGUAGGGUGCGAGCGUUACUCGGAAUUACUGGGCGUAAAGUGUGCGCAGGCCGCCGAGCAAGUCGAGUGUGAAAGCCCCGAGCUUAACUUGGGAACUGCGCUCGAAACUACUUGGCUAGAGUGUGGCAGAGGGAGGUGGAAUUCCACGUGUAGCGGUGAAAUGCGUAGAGAUGUGGAGGAACACCGAUGGCGAAGGCAGCCUCCUGGGCCAACACUGACGCUCAUGCACGAAAGCGUGGGGAGCAAACAGG
Molecule: ribosomal RNA, 253 nt
Filed under: uncultured bacterium
Lineage: Bacteria
Description: partial 16S ribosomal RNA
Rfam family: Bacterial small subunit ribosomal RNA
Source: RNAcentral